AACCAUAGAAACCUGCGGAGUACCUGCGGAGGGAUCAUUACACAAUAAACAUAUGAAGGCUGCACCGCCAACAGGCGGCAAGGCUGGAGUAUUUUAUUACCCUUGUCUUUUGCGCACUUGUUGUUUCCUGGGCGGGUUCGCCCGCCUCCAGGACCACAUGAUAAACCUUUUUUAUGCAGUUGCAAUCAGCGUCAGUACAACAAAUGCAAAUCAUUUACAACUUUUAACAAUGGAUCUCAG
RNAcentral lists this unclassified non-coding RNA (240 nucleotides) under soil metagenome. RNAcentral's name for it is "partial contains 5.8S ribosomal RNA, internal transcribed spacer 2, and large subunit ribosomal RNA". The record is from RNAcentral.